AGUGAACGCUGGCGGUAGGCCUAACACAUGCAAGUCGAACGGCAGCACAGGAGAGCUUGCUCUCUGGGUGGCGAGUGGCGGACGGGUGAGGAAUACAUCGGAAUCUACUUUUUCGUGGGGGAUAACGUAGGGAAACUUACGCUAAUACCGCAUACGACCUACGGGUGAAAGCAGGGGACCUUCGGGCCUUGCGCGAUUGAAUGAGCCGAGGUCGGAUUAGCUAGUUGGCGGGGUGAAGGCCCACCAAGGCGACGAUCCGUAGCUGGUCUGAGAGGACGCCCAGCCAAGCUGGAACUGAGACACGGUCCAGACUCCUAGGGGGGGAAGCAGUGGGGAAUAUUGGACAAUGGGCGCAAGCCUGAUCCAGCCAUACCGCGUGGGUGAAGAAGGCCUUCGGGUUGUAAAGCCCUUUUGUUGGGAAAGAAAUCCAGCUGGCUAAUACCCGGUUGGGAUGACGGUACCCAAAGAAUAAGCACCGGCUAACUCCGUGCCAGCCGCCGCAGUAA
This 506-nucleotide ribosomal RNA is filed under the name uncultured bacterium. RNAcentral describes it as "partial 16S ribosomal RNA". It matches the Rfam family "Bacterial small subunit ribosomal RNA", at positions 29 to 523 of the family's 1533-position model. The record is from RNAcentral.